Molecule: ribosomal RNA, 405 nt
Filed under: Bacillus cereus
Lineage: Bacteria; Bacillati; Bacillota; Bacilli; Caryophanales; Bacillaceae
Description: bacterial SSU rRNA
Rfam family: Bacterial small subunit ribosomal RNA
Source: RNAcentral
ACAUGCAAGUCGAGCGAAUGGAUUAAGAGCUUGCUCUUAUGAAGUUAGCGGCGGACGGGUGAGUAACACGUGGGUAACCUGCCCAUAAGACUGGGAUAACUCCGGGAAACCGGGGCUAAUACCGGAUAACAUUUUGAACCGCAUGGUUCGAAAUUGAAAGGCGGCUUCGGCUGUCACUUAUGGAUGGACCCGCGUCGCAUUAGCUAGUUGGUGAGGUAACGGCUCACCAAGGCAACGAUGCGUAGCCGACCUGAGAGGGUGAUCGGCCACACUGGGACUGAGACACGGCCCAGACUCCUACGGGAGGCAGCAGUAGGGAAUCUUCCGCAAUGGACGAAAGUCUGACGGAGCAACGCCGCGUGAGUGAUGAAGGCUUUCGGGUCGUAAAACUCUGUUGUUAGGGAA